Molecule: ribosomal RNA, 253 nt
Filed under: uncultured bacterium
Lineage: Bacteria
Description: partial 16S ribosomal RNA
Rfam family: Bacterial small subunit ribosomal RNA
Source: RNAcentral
UACGUAGGGGGCAAGCGUUGUCCGGAAUCAUUGGGCGUAAAGAGCGUGUAGGCGGCCCGAUAAGUCCGCUGUGAAAGUCCAGGGCUCAACCCUGGAAUGCCGGUGGAUACUGUCGGGCUCGAAUCCGGAAGAGGUGAGUGGAAUUCCUGGUGUAGCGGUGAAAUGCGCAGAUAUCAGGAGGAACGCCGGUGGCGAAGGCGGGUCUCUGGGCCGAUACUGACGCUGAGGAGCGAAAGCGUGGGGAGCGAACAGG